Molecule: ribosomal RNA, 468 nt
Filed under: uncultured bacterium
Lineage: Bacteria
Description: partial 16S ribosomal RNA
Rfam family: Bacterial small subunit ribosomal RNA
Source: RNAcentral
GACGAACGCUGGCGGCGUGCUUAACACAUGCAAGUCGAACGGAAAGGCCCUGCUUUUGUGGGGUGCUCGAGUGGCGAACGGGUGAGUAACACGUGAGUAACCUGCCCUUGACUUUGGGAUAACUUCAGGAAACUGGGGCUAAUACCGGAUAGGAGCUCCUGCUGCAUGGUGGGGGUUGGAAAGUUUCGGCGGUUGGGGAUGGACUCGCGGCUUAUCAGCUUGUUGGUGGGGUAGUGGCUUACCAAGGCUUUGACGGGUAGCCGGCCUGAGAGGGUGACCGGCCACAUUGGGACUGAGAUACGGCCCAGACUCCUACGGGAGGCAGCAGUGGGGAGUAUUGCACAAUGGGCGGAAGCCUGAUGCAGCAACGCCGCGUGCGGGAUGACGGCCUUCGGGUUGUAAACCGCUUUCGCCUGUGACGAAGCGUGAGUGACGGUAAUGAAUAAAGAAGCACCGGCUAACUACGUG